RNAcentral lists this unclassified non-coding RNA (350 nucleotides) under soil metagenome. RNAcentral describes it as "partial contains 5.8S ribosomal RNA, internal transcribed spacer 2, and large subunit ribosomal RNA". The stretch from base 1 to 120 matches the Rfam family "5.8S ribosomal RNA", at positions 35 to 154 of the family's 154-position model. The record is from RNAcentral.
GAUGAAGAACGCAGCGAAAUGCGAUAAGUAAUGUGAAUUGCAGAAUUCAGUGAAUCAUCGAAUCUUUGAACGCAUCUUGCGCUCCUUGGUAUUCUGAGGAGCAUGCCUGUUUGAGUGUCAUUUCAACCCUCAAGCCCAGCUUGGUGUUGGGGAUCGGCACAGGCGCCCUCGGGCGCCCGCCGUCCCCUAAAUCUAGUGGCGGUCCCGCUGCAGCCUCCUCUGCGUAGUAGUUUUCUCCUCGCAAGGGCAGCUCGGUGGCGACCUCGCCGUAAAACCCCCAACUUCUGAAAGGUUGACCUCGAAUCAGGUAGGAAUACCCGCUGAACUUAAGCAUAUCAAUAAGCGGAGGA